Molecule: ribosomal RNA, 368 nt
Filed under: uncultured organism
Description: bacterial SSU rRNA
Rfam family: Bacterial small subunit ribosomal RNA
Source: RNAcentral
CGUAGGUGGCAAGCGUUGUCCGGAUUUAUUGGGUUUAAAGGGUGCGUAGGCGGUCUUGUAAGUCAGUGGUGAAAUACGGCAGCUUAACUGUCGAGGUGCCAUUGAUACUGCAGGACUUGAGUACAGACGAGGUAGGCGGAAUUGACGGUGUAGCGGUGAAAUGCUUAGAUAUCGUCAAGAACACCGAUAGCGAAGGCAGCUUACUAGACUGUAACUGAUGCUGAUGCACGAAAGUGUGGGGAUCAAACAGGAUUAGAUACCCUGGUAGUCCACACUGUAAACGAUGAUUACUCGAUGUUGGCGAUACACAGCCAGCGUCUUAGCGAAAGCGAUAAGUAAUCCACCUGGGGAGUACGCCGGCAACGGUG